UUGAACUAAAAAAAUCAGAUGACAUACAACAGCAAUUUGAGAGCUUUGGAGGAUUUGUUAAAGCGCUAUUUUCUGUAGGAAAUGUUUUUAGCUAGAAGGAACCUCAGGGAUUAUAUUUUGUCAUGUAUAGUCUAUGAGACAGCAGCUGGUAUUUAGGGAUGGAAAAAGGCUAAAUUUCCAUUAAUCUUGGAGUGAACAGACAAGCCCAUUACCUAAAAAGGGGCAUGAAAUUAAGCCCAAAGAAUGCUUUUGUAAUUGAUAUGUUGUCUAAGAGGAAGCCACUGCAAUGAAUACCAGAUGAUAUACUUUAGUGCUGAUAAAUACCUGCAGCAUUAGGGAACAGCUGCAGAUGCUGAACAGGGAAAUAGGCAAAGGAAGUUACAAAAGUCAGUUCUUCAUUAACCCCUUAGGGAAUAAUUUCCAUUAUACAGAGAGUAUUCAUUGCAGCACAUUUAGCCAUUUGGUUGGCAGUGUAGCAUAGUGUAAAACCUGCCUGCAUUUCCGACACACAUGGCCUUUGUAAGGUCAUAAGGAUGCACCUGAAAUGCAGAGCAGGGGAAACUCCAGAAUGCAGAAAAGAGUUAAUGUAGUUGCAGAUGUGGGAUCUGAGAAAGGGAUUUAAGUGAGCCCUCUGGCUACCUUCAGAUUGGAAAUGGGCAUGAUUGGAAAGGAAUGCCUUGGUGACCCAGAAGUGUUUUCCCCGGAAGUUCCUCAUCCUACCAAGAAGAUGUGAAAGUGAAAAAGCCAAGUUGCCCUUCCAGGAGAGGGGAAGCUGCUUGCUGUAAGACCUUUGGAUUGUGGUAAAUUCAGUGCUGAGAGUGGAAGUGAGAGUCUUCUUUGAUGCGUUUGGUGUGCCUAUGCUCAGGCAGAUUUUUAGUCCAUCCUCUAAUAUCUGCAAGGAAAGAUCAUGGAGCAAAGAGAAAAUAUGAAAAAUGCAGAUAUUCCAGCUUGACAAGGAAGAUACCCAACAUAGAGAAGAUAUAGCUUCAUUUCAGAACCUCCUUGAAUGGAUUUCUGAGUAUAUGAUCACGUCGUCAUUUGGCAAUCCCACACGGUCAAGGGUGAUCACUCCUCAUAAAGUAUUUUACAUCAGCAGAGAAAAGAGAGUGGAGGAACGGAAAGGAGGGGAAUCGCAGCCUGCUCUCCCCUGUAGAAAGACCUGCAACUUCUGCAGGUGGAUCUAUGGGUCAAGGAUUGGACUUCUAAGUCACCUCAAGACCCAUUAAUGUGCAGUGGUAGAGAUCAUCAUCAAAUCAAGGGAUUGCUACUGAUGCUGCCACCAUCGGGGUGUUCACAGUCUAUGGACUCGGAUAUAAAUUUCAGACUGCAUACUCCAUUCAGUUCAUACCAUAUCUCCUACAGUGCUAAUGGUAGAUUUCCACAGAAAUUAGAUGGGAAUGUAACCAUCAUAUUGUAGCUUCACUCAUAUUUGUUGUUGUUUACACAGUUCCUUAUAGUCAGAGACAGGUUCUCUCAAUGUGAAAACAUGAUCACAUUCAGUCUCCAUUACUUCUCUCCUUUGUUUUCCUUCCUUCCCCAUCUUUCUUUCUUUAUUUUCUCCCCCCACCCCACUUUCCUAUCUUUCUGAGUCUCCUGUGUUCCUUCUUGGGUUUUGCUUUGUUUUGUUUUGGGGUGGUUUUUUUGCCUGCAUCAAAUCCCAGUGCAUAUUCCAGGUCCUGAAGUAAUCAGCAAAGCUAAUAGGAAUGAUGACAUAGAAGCACCAUCAGUCUCUUUGGAAUUGCUGUUCCACUGAGAUUAAGAGGGACAGGGGAGUUCGCUCCUUUAUGCCACUCCUCCAGGCUGGCUGCAGAUUCUGGCCAUGUUUGUAGGAUUUGCUCUGCAGUCAUGAAGGGGCUAGAAUUUUUUUUAAUGGAAAGCUUAGAUUCUGCACAAACUGAAAAAAUCAUCCAGACAACCCAAGAACACCCUGUACGCCAUAUUGGUUAUUUAUGAUAUAGUGAUCCAAAUAUUUCCACGUUAGUUCCUGUUGUUACUUUAAAUGCAUUAUUUGAGAAAAAGACUUCUAGGACAAUGCAAUCACAUGUGAUGCUAAG
This is a long non-coding RNA of Alligator sinensis (Chinese alligator), 2054 nucleotides long. RefSeq lists it as uncharacterized. The record is from RefSeq and is a predicted model, not a curated record. NCBI's taxonomy places the organism in Eukaryota, Metazoa, Chordata, Crocodylia, Alligatoridae. The transcript is spliced from 4 exons.